Non-coding RNA from Arabis alpina (gray rockcress), 107 nucleotides. The record is from Rfam. NCBI's taxonomy places the organism in Eukaryota, Viridiplantae, Streptophyta, Magnoliopsida, Brassicales, Brassicaceae.
AUCCCAUGGUGAGGACAAGCUCUUGUAUAUCCUUUCAUACGUUCCCACGUGUCAUACAAACUCUCUUCUUCGCCUUGCUCAAAUCUAGUUAUAUCGUUCCUUAUCUU